UUCUUAUUGGAUAAUGAUUGUCACGUGUCAUAUUCUGAUUGGAUGUCAACUCCAUGAAAGAUUAAAUGAAUUAUUGUUUUCAUUGACCAAUUAGAACAUGACACAUGACAGUCAUCAUCU
This is a non-coding RNA of Glycine soja, 120 nucleotides long. The record is from Rfam. Lineage: Eukaryota; Viridiplantae; Streptophyta; Magnoliopsida; Fabales; Fabaceae.